RNAcentral lists this small RNA (295 nucleotides) under Arabidopsis thaliana (thale cress). Its description in RNAcentral is "ATSL150110". Lineage: Eukaryota; Viridiplantae; Streptophyta; Magnoliopsida; Brassicales; Brassicaceae. The record is from RNAcentral.
AAUGAUUAUAAGAGACUUUGGUUCCAAACUCGAGCUUUUAAAAAUUGUCGAAGAAGAAGAUAUGUGGUCAGUGUUUGCAACGGAAAUAGAUUCUUUUACGUAAUCAUUUUAGAUGUUUUGCGAUAUCACUAUACCUAGAAAGUUGAAUAUCCGAGCUGACACCCUUGCAAAAGGGUUUAUUUUCGAGAUGUCAUUUUUUCUAUAUAAAUUCUCGGGUUCCGAAGUGAUUGGCUCUUGAUGCCUACCUUUUCGAACCUGUUUAAUAAUAUAUAGAAUAUUUUGUCGUAAAAAAGAA